This is an RNA transcript of Trachymyrmex septentrionalis, 540 nucleotides long. It is a transcript of the gene named heat shock factor-binding protein 1, with no coding region annotated. The transcript is spliced from 4 exons. The record is from RefSeq and is a predicted model, not a curated record. NCBI's taxonomy places the organism in Eukaryota, Metazoa, Arthropoda, Insecta, Hymenoptera, Formicidae.
UAGAUACGGCGUCGCACGCGUUCGCUCGGGAGGAUCCAUUGCAUUGGACCGGACCGGACGAGCCGAGCUUUAAUUCUCGUUUUCUCCCCCUCCGGUUAAAACGUCGAGGAUGGCCGAUGUCAAACAGGAUCACAAGGGCGAGGACGUCGACAGCUAUGGGAUGGGCAACAGCGCCGAUCCGAAGAACAUGCAGGAGCUGACGCAAUACGUGCAAACGCUGUUGCAGAACAUGCAGGACAAGUUUCAAACCAUGUCUGACCAGAUCAUAGGAAGAAUAGAUGAAAUGGGUAACAGAAUAGACGACCUGGAAAAAAAUAUCGCAGACCUAAUGACACAAGCAGGAGUCGAAGGAGGUGAUAAAUAAGCUCGUUCUUUCUUCAAUGCACUCAUCUAUAAAUAACGACUUAUCUAAAGUAUCGUUGUACUUUAUUGUCAUGGAAAAAAAAUGUAUACAGAUAAUAACUGAGAUAUCGACUAAACCAAUAUAACAAUUAGAUUACUCAACUUCAAUGGAGUGCAGGUUACAUUGAUUCUUAUAUA